GCUGACGCCUGCCCGGUGGUGGAAGGUUAAGGGGAUCUGUUAGAGCAAUCGAAGCAGUGAACUUAAGCCCCAGUAAACGGCGGCCGUAACUAUAACGGUCCUAAGGUAGCGAAAUUCCUUGUCGGGUAAGUUCCGACCCGAACGAAAGGCGUAACGAUUUGGGCACUGUCUCAACAACAGACUCGGUGAAAUUGUAAUUCCGGUGAAGAUGCCGGAUACCUGCGACAGGACGGAAAGACCCCAUGGAGCUUUACUGUAGCUUGACAUU
Molecule: ribosomal RNA, 268 nt
Filed under: Clostridioides difficile
Lineage: Bacteria; Bacillati; Bacillota; Clostridia; Peptostreptococcales; Peptostreptococcaceae
Description: partial 23S ribosomal RNA
Rfam family: Bacterial large subunit ribosomal RNA
Source: RNAcentral